UCAGCGGGUGCGGGCACGCGGGCGCUGGGCUAGCUGGGCUGUGGGCGAGCGCGAGGAGUUGGGCCAAUUCGGCCCAAUUCGGCCGGGCCGGUCCGUUUGCUCUUUUUUUUUUCUUUUACCCUUUUCUUUUUCUGUUUUUCUUAUUCCUUUGAUAUCUUUUGAUUUUGAACUCCAAAUUGGUCCAGAUAAAUUCCAGAAAAUUUGUAAAAUCAUGUUCUACCAUCAUACAACUUUUGGAAGUAGUUUCCCUAGAAAAUAAAAUAUAUAAAAAUACAUUUGCCCUAUAAAUGCCUCUAGGGCUAUAUAUCUAUUUAGAUCAAAUACUUUUUCAACUCCAAAUAAUUAUCUAAAAAUUAUGGGAUAGCUUAUAUAUGCAUUAAACCCAUUUUAUACAUAAAACCUAUUGGUUUGAAGAUCCAAAGCUCAAAUGGGUGUAAAACCCUAAGGUUCAAGUUGAAAUAAACACUUUUAAAGACUUUUUGAAAUUAACCCUAGGAGGCCUACGUUGGCUUAAAGCAUCUCUCAAAAUGUCUCCGGACAUAAUUGCCUCAU
This 552-nucleotide long non-coding RNA is filed under the name Brachypodium distachyon (stiff brome). RNAcentral describes it as "long non-coding RNA (BDIS_LNC002529)". The record is from RNAcentral. Lineage: Eukaryota; Viridiplantae; Streptophyta; Magnoliopsida; Poales; Poaceae.